AAGACUUUAAGUUAAUAAGACUAUUAGCCUUCAAAGCUUUAAAUAUAAGUUUAAUCUUUUAAGUUUUA
This 68-nucleotide transfer RNA is filed under the name Gomphiocephalus hodgsoni. RNAcentral's name for it is "tRNA-Trp". It matches the Rfam family "tRNA". From Rfam's summary of the family: Transfer RNA (tRNA) molecules are approximately 80 nucleotides in length. Their secondary structure includes four short double-helical elements and three loops (D, anti-codon, and T loops). The record is from RNAcentral. Lineage: Eukaryota; Metazoa; Arthropoda; Collembola; Poduromorpha; Hypogastruridae.